AUAUAUACUAAUCCAUGCAGAGACAUUCUUCCAUGUUUAUUUCUACAUCUAUCUGCCUAUAAAUAUAUGAACAAUUUUGAGUUAACACAAUUAGAGUUAAUCUCUGAUUCUAAUCUAAUACAACAGAGAUCACUCUAGCCUCCCACUUUCACUGUGAAUUUUUCUCUAACAGUGAAAAAUUUGGCUCUCAUUAUCUACAAUGUAUUUAUUUACUUGUUCAGUCCUGGUACACAAAUCAAAUUUUACAAAGUUGAUACCCUUACCCCUAUGGGAAACUGAUUUACUAAACAGUGUGAAAUAAUUGCAUACAAUUAUUUUUGCCUCAUGGUGUCUCAAUUUUUUUUUCCAAAACUAUUUUUGUUCUUUAUUUUCUUCUCCAUUCCAUUCAAUGUGGUUGUGUUAUGCAUUUAUAACAUAACUAGGUUGAUUUGUUACUCAUAUGUUUACCUAUAUCCUAGAUUAUUUUUAAAUUAAUUUUAAAAAUUGUAUGUCAUUAAUUUUGCAGGGGCUAUGAAAAUUGGUAUAGUUCUAAAAAGCAGAAGGAUAAAGAAAGUUAUACUUGGAGAAGUGUGUUCCCAUUACAUCCUUACUACCCUAUCCCCUGCUUCUGGUUUACCUUUCUAUAUUUCUUUUGCAGAUAUGUAAAUGAGCAGAUACCUGUUUAUUUUCUUAUAUGUUUUUCUUCCUUAUAAGAAUGGUAGCUACUAUUAAUACUCUUGUAAUUUGCUUCCUUAUUUAACAAAUUUUUCUGAAAACCAUUCCAACUCAGUUCAUAGAGAUCUUCCUCAUUUUCUUAUACAGCUGCAAGGUACCUGGUGGUGUUGCUCUAACAUAAUAUAGUCAAUGACAUUCCUACGUAAGAGCAUUAGGUUGUUUCCAAUAUUUUGCAACUAAAGUAGCAUUGCAAUGGAUAACCUUGUGUAGGAGUUCCUAUUGUGGCUCAGCGGAUUAAGAAUCUGACUGGUAUCCACUGGAAUAUGGGUUUGAUCCAUGGCCUCGCCCAUGGGUUAAGGAUCCAGCAUUGCCAUGCGCUGUGGUGUAGGUCACAGAAGCAGCUAGGACCUGGCAUUGCUGUGGCAGCUGCAAUUCCAAUUCAACCCCCAGCCUGGGACUUUCCAUAUGUUGUAGGUGUGACCUUAAAAAGCAAAAAAAAAAAA
This 1157-nucleotide long non-coding RNA is filed under the name Sus scrofa (pig). RNAcentral's name for it is "lncRNA (ENSSSCG00060065524.1)". Lineage: Eukaryota; Metazoa; Chordata; Mammalia; Artiodactyla; Suidae. The record is from RNAcentral.